UUGAAGAGUUUGAUCAUGGCUCAGAUUGAACGCUGGCGGCAGGCCUAACACAUGCAAGUCGAGCGGUAGCACAGAGAGCUUGCUCUCGGGUGACGAGCGGCGGACGGGUGAGUAAUGUCUGGGAAACUGCCUGAUGGAGGGGGAUAACUACUGGAAACGGUAGCUAAUACCGCAUAAUGUCGCAAGACCAAAGUGGGGGACCUUCGGGCCUCAUGCCAUCAGAUGUGCCCAGAUGGGAUUAGCUAGUAGGUGGGGUAACGGCUCACCUAGGCGACGAUCCCUAGCUGGUCUGAGAGGAUGACCAGCCACACUGGAACUGAGACACGGUCCAGACUCCUACGGGAGGCAGCAGUGGGGAAUAUUGCACAAUGGGCGCAAGCCUGAUGCAGCCAUGCCGCGUGUGUGAAGAAGGCCUUCGGGUUGUAAAGCACUUUCAGCGGGGAGGAAGGCGGUGAGGUUAAUAACCUCAUCGAUUGACGUUACCCGCAGAAGAAGCACCGGCUAACUCCGUGCCAGCAGCCGCGGUAAUACGGAGGGUGCAAGCGUUAAUCGGAAUUACUGGGCGUAAAGCGCACGCAGGCGGUCUGUCAAGUCGGAUGUGAAAUCCCCGGGCUUAACCUGGGAACUGCAUUCGAAACUGGCAGGCUAGAGUCUUGUAGAGGGGGGUAGAAUUCCAGGUGUAGCGGUGAAAUGCGUAGAGAUCUGGAGGAAUACCGGUGGCGAAGGCGGCCCCCUGGACAAAGACUGACGCUCAGGUGCGAAAGCGUGGGGAGCAAACAGGAUUAGAUACCCUGGUAGUCCACGCCGUAAACGAUGUCGAUUUGGAGGUUGUGCCCUUGAGGCGUGGCUUCCGGAGCUAACGCGUUAAAUCGACCGCCUGGGGAGUACGGCCGCAAGGUUAAAACUCAAAUGAAUUGACGGGGGGCCCGCACAAGCGGUGGAGCAUGUGGUUUAAUUCGAUGCAACGCGAAGAACCUUACCUGGUCUUGACAUCCACAGAACUUAGCAGAGAUGCUUUGGUGCCUUCGGGAACUGUGAGACAGGUGCUGCAUGGCUGUCGUCAGCUCGUGUUGUGAAAUGUUGGGUUAAGUCCCGCAACGAGCGCAACCCUUAUCCUUUGUUGCCAGCGGUUAGGCCGGGAACUCAAAGGAGACUGCCAGUGAUAAACUGGAGGAAGGUGGGGAUGACGUCAAGUCAUCAUGGCCCUUACGACCAGGGCUACACACGUGCUACAAUGGCAUAUACAAAGAGAAGCGACCUCGCGAGAGCAAGCGGACCUCAUAAAGUAUGUCGUAGUCCGGAUUGGAGUCUGCAACUCGACUCCAUGAAGUCGGAAUCGCUAGUAAUCGUAGAUCAGAAUGCUACGGUGAAUACGUUCCCGGGCCUUGUACACACCGCCCGUCACACCAUGGGAGUGGGUUGCAAAAGAAGUAGGUAGCUUAACCUUCGGGAGGGCGCUUACCACUUUGUGAUUCAUGACUGGGGUGAAGUCGUAACAAGGUAACCGUAGGGGAACCUGCGGUUGGAUCACCUCCUU
This 1537-nucleotide ribosomal RNA is filed under the name Klebsiella pneumoniae. RNAcentral's name for it is "bacterial SSU rRNA". It matches the Rfam family "Bacterial small subunit ribosomal RNA". The record is from RNAcentral. Lineage: Bacteria; Pseudomonadati; Pseudomonadota; Gammaproteobacteria; Enterobacterales; Enterobacteriaceae.